This is a long non-coding RNA of Sapajus apella (tufted capuchin), 323 nucleotides long. RefSeq lists it as uncharacterized. NCBI's taxonomy places the organism in Eukaryota, Metazoa, Chordata, Mammalia, Primates, Cebidae. The transcript is spliced from 2 exons. The record is from RefSeq and is a predicted model, not a curated record.
AGAUGGAGCUCUGAGCAAGAUGGAGCUCAGAGCAGAUGGAGCUCUGAGCAAGAUGGAGCUUGGAGCUGAUGUUCCUCUGUGUAAGAUGGAGCUAAGGGCUAGAUGGAGCUUGGAGUGAAAGGAGCUCAGAGCAGACGGUGCUCAGAGCAAGAUGGAGCUUAGAGUGAUUGGAGCACUGAGCAAGAUGGAGCUUGGAGCAGAUGGAGCUUGGAGCAAGAUGGAGUUAGGAGCAGAUGGAGCUCUGAGCAAGAUGGAGCUCGGAGCAGAUGGAGCUCCGAGCAGAUUAAGCUCAGAAAAGAAGGAGCUCUAAGCAAGAUGGAACU